Molecule: ribosomal RNA, 832 nt
Filed under: Burkholderia pseudomallei MSHR456
Lineage: Bacteria; Pseudomonadati; Pseudomonadota; Betaproteobacteria; Burkholderiales; Burkholderiaceae
Description: bacterial SSU rRNA
Rfam family: Bacterial small subunit ribosomal RNA
Source: RNAcentral
GAGUUUGAUCCUGGCUCAGAUUGAACGCUGGCGGCAUGCCUUACACAUGCAAGUCGAACGGCAGCACGGGCUUCGGCCUGGUGGCGAGUGGCGAACGGGUGAGUAAUACAUCGGAACAUGUCCUGUAGUGGGGGAUAGCCCGGCGAAAGCCGGAUUAAUACCGCAUACGAUCUGAGGAUGAAAGCGGGGGACCUUCGGGCCUCGCGCUAUAGGGUUGGCCGAUGGCUGAUUAGCUAGUUGGUGGGGUAAAGGCCUACCAAGGCGACGAUCAGUAGCUGGUCUGAGAGGACGACCAGCCACACUGGGACUGAGACACGGCCCAGACUCCUACGGGAGGCAGCAGUGGGGAAUUUUGGACAAUGGGCGCAAGCCUGAUCCAGCAAUGCCGCGUGUGUGAAGAAGGCCUUCGGGUUGUAAAGCACUUUUGUCCGGAAAGAAAUCAUUCUGGCUAAUACCCGGAGUGGAUGACGGUACCGGAAGAAUAAGCACCGGCUAACUACGUGCCAGCAGCCGCGGUAAUACGUAGGGUGCGAGCGUUAAAAUCGGAAUUACUGGGCUAAAGCGUGCGCAGGCGGUUUGCUAAAGACCGAUGUGAAAAAUCCCCGGGCUCAAACCUGGGAAACUGCAUUGGUGACUGGCAGGCUAGAGUAUGGCAGAGGGGGGUAGAAUUCCACGUGUAGCAGUGAAAUGCGUAGAGAUGUGGAGGAAUACCGAUGGCGAAGGCAGCCCCCUGGGCCAAUACUGACGCUCAUGCACGAAAGCGUGGGGAGCAAACAGGAUUUAGAUACCCUGGUAGUCCACGCCUAAACGAUGUCAACUAGUUUGUUUGGGG